RNAcentral lists this ribosomal RNA (480 nucleotides) under uncultured bacterium. RNAcentral describes it as "partial 16S ribosomal RNA". It matches the Rfam family "Bacterial small subunit ribosomal RNA", at positions 28 to 523 of the family's 1533-position model. The record is from RNAcentral.
GACGAACGCUGGCGGCGUGCUUAACACAUGCAAGUCGAGCGGUAAGGCUCCUUCGGGAGUACACGAGCGGCGAACGGGUGAGUAACACGUGAGCAAUCUGCCCUUCUCAUCGGAAUAACCAUUGGAAACGAUGGCUAAUGCCGAAUACGACUUCCUUUCGCAUGUCAGGAAGUGGAAAGCUCCGGCGGAGAAGGAUGAGCUCGCGGCCUAUCAGCUUGUUGGCGGGGUAACGGCCCACCAAGGCAACGACGGGUAGCCGGCCUGAGAGGGUGACCGGCCACACUGGGACUGGGACACGGCCCAGACUCCUACGGGAGGCAGCAGUGGGGAAUAUUGGACAAUGGGCGAAAGCCUGAUCCAGCAACGCCGCGUGAGGGAUGACGGCCUUCGGGUUGUAAACCUCUUUCAGCAGGGACGAAGCGAAAGUGACGGUACCUGCAGAAGAAGGACCGGCCAACUACGUGCCAGCCGCCGCCGUAA